CUUACCAGGCCUUGACAUGCAGAGAACUUUCCUAGAGAUGGAUUGGUGCCUUCGGGAACUCUGACACAGGUGCUGCAUGGCUGUCGUCAGCUCGUGUCGUGAGAUGUUGGGUUAAGUCCCGUAACGAGCGCAACCCUUGUCCUUAGUUACCAGCACGUUAAGGUGGGGCACUCUAAGGAAGACUGCCGGUGACAAACCGGAGGAAGGUGGGGAGUGACGUCAAGUCAUCCAUGGCCCUUACGGCCUGGGCUACACACGUGCUACAAUGGUCGGUACAAAGGGUUGCCAAGCCGCGAGGUGGAGCUAAUCCCAUAAAACCGAUCGUAGUCCGGAUCGCAGUCUGCAACUCGACUGCGUGAAGUCGGAAUCGCUAGUAAUCGUGAAUCAGAAUGUCACGGUGAAUACGUUCCCGGGCCUU
Molecule: ribosomal RNA, 418 nt
Filed under: uncultured Pseudomonas sp.
Lineage: Bacteria; Pseudomonadati; Pseudomonadota; Gammaproteobacteria; Pseudomonadales; Pseudomonadaceae
Description: bacterial SSU rRNA
Rfam family: Bacterial small subunit ribosomal RNA
Source: RNAcentral